Molecule: transfer RNA, 72 nt
Filed under: Ovis aries (sheep)
Lineage: Eukaryota; Metazoa; Chordata; Mammalia; Artiodactyla; Bovidae
Rfam family: tRNA
About the family: Transfer RNA (tRNA) molecules are approximately 80 nucleotides in length. Their secondary structure includes four short double-helical elements and three loops (D, anti-codon, and T loops). Further hydrogen bonds mediate the characteristic L-shaped molecular structure. tRNAs have two regions of fundamental functional importance: the anti-codon, which is responsible for specific mRNA codon recognition, and the 3' end, to which the tRNAs corresponding amino acid is attached (by aminoacyl-tRNA synthetases). tRNAs cope with the degeneracy of the genetic code in two manners: having more than one tRNA (with a specific anti-codon) for a particular amino acid; and 'wobble' base-pairing, i.e. permitting non-standard base-pairing at the 3rd anti-codon position.
Source: Rfam by way of RNAcentral
UCCUUGGUGGUCCAGUGGUUAAGACCCUGAACUUCCACUGCAGGGAGCACAGGCUUGAUUCCUGUCAGGGAA